CAGGGUUAACCCUGGCCCGGUUCGGCCUGGUUCAGUCCAAAUCAGACUCCAUCCCCAGGGUUAAACCCCCCUGGUCCAACUUGGUCCAGUUCGGCUCGGCCCGGUUCGGCCCAACUCGGCCCAGCUCCACCCCAGGGUUAACCCUGGCCCGGUUCGGCCCGGUUCGGUCCAAAUCAGACUCCAUCCCCAGGAUUAAACCCCCCCAGUCCAACUCGGCCUGGUUCAGCUCGGCCCGGUUCGGCCCAGCUCGGCCCAGCCCCACCCUGGGGUUAACCCUGGCCCGGUUCAGCCCGGUUCGGUCCAAAUCAGACUCCACCCCCAGGCCCAACUCGGCCCGGUUCAGCCCAACUCAGCCCAGCUCCACCCUGGGGUUAACCCUGGCCUGGUUCGGCCCAGUUCGGCCCAACUUGGCCCAGCUCCACCCCAGGGUUAACCCUGGCCCGGUUCGGUCCAAAUCAGAUUCCACCCCCAGGCUUAAACCCCCCCGGUCCAACUUGGCCCGGUUCGGCUUGGCCCGGUUCGGCCCAACUCGGCCCAGCUCCACCCCAGGGUUAACCCUGGCCCAGUUCGGCCCGGUUCGGUCCAAAUCAGACUCCACCCCCAGGCUUAAACCCCCCUGGUCCAACUCGGCCUGGUUCGGUUCGGCCUGGUUCAGCCCAACUCGGCCCAGCUCCACCCCAGGUUUAACCCUGGCCCGGUUCAGCCCAGUUUGGCCCAACUUGGCCCAGCUCCACCCCAGGGUUAACCCUGGCCCGGUUCGGCCCGGUUCGGUCCAAAUCAGACUCCACCCCCAGGCCCAACUCGGCCCGGUUCAGCCCAACUCGGCCCAGCUCCACCCCAGGGUUAACCCUGGCCCGGUUCUGUCCAAAUCAGACUUCAUCCCCAGGGUUAAACCCCCCCUGGUCCAACUUGGCCUGGUUUGGCUCGGCCUGGUUCAGCCCAACUCGGCCCAGCUCCACCCCAGGGUUAACCCUGGCCCGGUUCGGCCCGGUUUGGUCCAAAUCAGACUCCACCCCCAGGGUUAAACCCCCCUGGUCCAACUCGGCCUGGUUCGGCUCGGCCUGGUUCAGCCCAA
Molecule: long non-coding RNA, 1075 nt
Filed under: Numida meleagris (helmeted guineafowl)
Lineage: Eukaryota; Metazoa; Chordata; Aves; Galliformes; Numididae
Description: lncRNA (ENSNMEG00000004135.1)
Source: RNAcentral